UAACCUUUCAGGAGACCACAUUGAAUAGACUUGCUGUGUUCAUAGAGGAACAGACUGGACUUCUGCUCUGUGGAGGAAGAUGUCAGAUUUUUAAUGAAGAAAAAUCUGCAGUGCCAAUCAUACCGUAUGAUGCGUGGGUAUCCACUCUCCUUGCCCAAGAAGCACACAAUGCCAACCAUGAAGAGAUUGCAGGAACACUCCUUCAGGUGAGGAAAAUGGCAUGGGUGGUAAAAGGUCGUAAAGUGGCUCAAAAGAUUGUGAACAACUGUGAAAAGCCAGAGCGAAAAGAUGCCAGCAAAUCAUGAGUGACCUUCCACCUGAGCGUAUAACACCAGCUAAUCCCUUUCAGUACACAACAGUGGACCUCUUUGGACCUUAUGAAGUGAAGGAUGAGGUGAGAAAGAAAGUGAAACUCAAAGUCUGGGGAAUAGUCUUCAGCUGCAUGGCUUCCAGAGCCAUACACACUGAUGUUGUCAGUGACCAGUCAGCUGAAGGCUUCCUGCUGGCCUACCAGCAGUUCACAGCACUGAGAGGGCACCCAAAAAAGCUGUGGUCAGAUCCUGGGAAAAACUUUGUAGGUGCAAAACCUGCCCUUAAAGAGCUCUAUUUGUUCCUUGGCCAGCUUGAAAAGUCAAAUAUUGAGAGUGAAGCCUCCAGGAAUGGCACAGAAUGGAACUGGAAAAUCCAUCCCGCAGAUUCACCUCACAGGAAUGGAGCUGCAGAGGCGGCGGUGCGCACUGUGAAGCGGGCCCUGCACAAUCUGGGAGGUGAAGGUGUCUUCACAUGGAGUGAGUUCCAAACUUUUUUGUAUUUAGCCUCCAACCUUGCCAAUUAGAGACCCGUUGACGCCAGGACCCAGAGCCGGGAGGACUGUGUGGAAUACAUCAGUCCAAAUUCACUUCUGCUUGGACGGGCUGGACCCAGAGGAGAUCCAGCUAGCUUUGAGUUUGAAGGCUACCCUUACAAGGGACUGAAGGCCAUACAAACAGAAGUUGACCGAUUCUGGAAGAAGUGGAGUCAGCUUGCUGGACCUAACCUCUUUGUGAGAUCCAAGUGGCACACUGCCCACAGAAAUGUGGCUGUUGGAGAUGUUGUCUGGAUGGCUGACCAGAACGCCCUAAGGGCACAAUACCGGCUCGGCAGGGUGACCAAAGUAAACGCUGACAGCAAGGGUAUCGUGAGAGCUGUGCACAUCAGGACUUUUCCCAGCUACCCAGUUUCCUCUACAAAACCUGCUGCAAAGAAGGGAAAGCAGCACUCAAGUAAAACCCGGGCCACCAUUCUUCACAGAGACGUCAGACGGAUCAUUGUUUUAAUACCAGUUGAAGAACAGGAACAACAUUAUGCAAACUGAAGGGAAACUUGCCUGAACAGAUGAUGAUGUGACCUUCUUGGGUUUAAAAAACCAAGAGGUCAAGUGGGAGGUGUCACGUCAAAAGACAGAGCAGAAAAAACACCACUGAUUUGCAGAGCACACUCCAGGCCUGAAGGGGCAACAGUGAGAGCUGAAGGCUGAACAUCUCCACCUGCUUCCACACAAUUUGGCUUGAGUUCACCUGUUCACCUGCUCAGAGCACAUGCUUAAAAUGUUUGAGCUUCAGUCAGUCAGCCCUUUUGACAUGCUGCUGAAAGGAAGGAAGACAGCUCUUGUGUGGACUCAGAAGACGCAACUGGAUGGGGCUGCUCCACGCGCGGUAAUUGUGGAACGCUUUUACAUCGUUUUGCCCAAAACAAGGAAAGAAGACAAGUAUGGGACGUGAAGGUCUGCCCUCAACACUGGGGAGUCACCGACUACAAUGUCUUGUGCGAGGCAUGGCCAACCAUCAGAAGAGCUGAUAGGCAACACAUAAGAGUGGACAACAGAAGACAGUCGAAACAUGUCAGGUUGGGCGACUUGUCCAGGGUGUACACCGCCUUCCGCCCCAUUGCAGCUGAGAUAGGCUCCAUCACCCCCCGCCACCCUAAAAGGGACAAGCGGUGGAUGGAUGGAUGGAUGGAUGGAUGCCUGAGUCACACGUUUCUCUGGAGCUGUCUCCUCAAUUCAACAUGUCCAGGGUUUACCCGCCUUCUCCCUGUCGUAACGUGGACUAUGGUGUGGUUUGUUUUCCCGAGAUGCAAAUGAACUCGACCAGACAUGGCGUGAAGAUCACAAGCCCUUCCUUUUUUGUCACCAGUCUGACGUCAUCCCUGACCCUUGAUUGUUUCCACCUGUUUCCCAUUACCGUCAUGUUCUAUUUAAGCUCGUCUCCCCUUGUCCUGUGCCAGAUCGUCUCGAACUUUCGUGUCUAUUUAGCGUUUAUGUCCAUGUCCAUGUUUAUAUCCAUGCCUAGCCUCUUCCCAUGUUUACUUCCCUGGAACAAGAAUUUCUCUUUCUGUAAUUUUGAAUUGUACUUUUUUCCUCCUUUGAGCAACCUUCGUUAGUCUAACCUUCGUUCAACCUAUUUGGUGAGUUGUUGUAUUUUUCUAAAUUCCUUUUCUUCCUCAUAGAUUGAGUGAUUUUGUGUUUAUCUUUAUUAUGUAUUAAGUUAUAGUCCUUUUUGUUCUUCCUCCUGUUGGACUGCUUUGUGUUAUUUUUUAUAGUAGAUACAACAUUUAUGAUGGUUUGUUUUCUUGUUAUUUUUUUCCUCCUAUUUUUUGGAGUGAUUAUUGGUUUAUCUAAUUCCGAAAUUAUUUCCGCAGACCUCUUUUGUUAAUCAUCAAGUGCGUCAUACUCUGGCUCCGGGGGUUUAAAAAGUGGUUUCAAAAUAAAAUCUUUAU
Long non-coding RNA from Nerophis ophidion (straightnose pipefish), 2757 nucleotides. RefSeq lists it as uncharacterized. The transcript is spliced from 6 exons. The record is from RefSeq and is a predicted model, not a curated record. NCBI's taxonomy places the organism in Eukaryota, Metazoa, Chordata, Actinopteri, Syngnathiformes, Syngnathidae.